CUCUAAAGUUCCACUAGUCCAUGCUUCUGCUUUCAGCUUAUUAUGAACUGAUCCGACCCUUCUGUUGUUGUUCAGUAUAAACAAAUCGAGAAUCUUGUGAAAAGGUUCUCUAUUCAAACAACUUACCUUAUAUAUUUUAUUUUACUGUUCAAAAGAAUGAGCAUUCCAACAAUUGUUGAUAAGGAAGAUUUUGUGAAGCAAUCGUUAUUCAAAUUUCUUAGAAAACAUAUUCCCAGUGCACAAAUCAGUUCAAUUGACGAAAUAGUGCUGAGCUAUGUUGUAAGCAUUCUGGAGGAUCUGGGCACUGAACAGAGUGGUGAAGUAGAGGAAGCUUUCGACGCAGAGGGUUUCUGUGAAAUGAUGGCCGCUUACUUUCCGCAGUUCUCCACCAUUGGAUUGCCUGAUGUCUGCAUGUGGAUGUUUGAACUAGAAGCUACACUACGACAACAAAAGAAAAAAAAUCACUUGGAUUUUGAACUGUCUGAAAUGCUCGUACCAAUGUCAGUUUCACAGCGGUCUCAGAAUUCACCGCCGCCGACAGAAGCGAGCACUGAAAAAGAAAAGGUUGAAACAAAUUCAGACUCAACUAACUCAACUAAACGCACACAUUUGUUGUCGGAAACUUCGGAGGGCAGCUACUGCUCAGAUAGCAGCGGCGAGUUCUACAAUGCAGAUGAUUCAAAUGGCAUGAGCCAACAGGCACAACUGUUGUGUGAAAUGUUCCCGUCAGUAUACGCAAUAGAGGUGCGUCACUGCUUGACUAUUGCCAAUGGAGAUAUAGCUAAAGCUGCUCAACUUGUUCUUCACAGACAGGAAGCUGGACAGAGCCUGGUACCUACCACUGGAGUUUUACAGUCGACUAAUACACAUCAGAAAUCAGUGGUUGAUGACCAAGAGCUCAAAUCAAGAAUAAUAGCUCGCUACAGUUUUGUCGACAAAGACGAUGACAUUCGUGAACACAGACCAGUUGCUCCAAAAUCGACGAAGAUGAAAAUUCCACCGUUGAUAAUAAUGCAUCAAACUCUGGAAACGAGACAGAAACGGACUGUACCAAUGAAGGAUUCCUUGCAAGGCAAGCGGAACAAGAAGAUAGAAAGAAAAGACCCAGGACCGCAUUUACUGCAAUUCAAAUAAAAGCAUUGGAAGCCGAAUUCGAAAAAAAAUAAAUAUCUAUCGGUUGGAAAACGACUUCAACUUAGUAAAACUCUUCGUUUGUCAGAAACUCAGAUCAAAAUAUGGUUUCAAAACAGACGAACAAAAUGGAAGAGAAAGUACACAAACGAAUUGGAGAUACUGGCACAACAAUACUGCAGUUCACUUGGUGUAGUGGCUCCAAGACCUAUGUUUUUGGGGGAUCGACUAUGGUUCUUCAACUGUCCCAACUCGACUUUCCCAACUGCUCAACCAUUGACUCGCAAUGUACCGCAUCUGUAUCAACCAAUACCUGGAUGCUCAAUGGUAUAUUGCAAUCCUGCUGACCAUAGAUAGAGAAAAUACCCGGCGUGAAGAUAAUCAAAUUCUGGGUUAUCUUGAAAUUGAUCAACAGCGUUGAUAUUUUUUUCUAGGAUAUAAGCCUAAGCUUACCUAGGAUUAUUGAUCGAAGAUUAUUGCCUUUUUAUAUUAUGGUUUUGAGACUUCAAUUAUGUAAAAUCAAUGGAAACGGAUGGCUUGUCAAUGAAUAACAAGUGCAUAUUUGAAGAAUGUGCAAUUGUUCAAUCAUCAAUAUAAUGUAACAUCAUUGUACAAUAAGUACAAUCAUCCACAAAAAUGUAAUUGUAGUUUUCUAUUUCUUAGCCAUCUAUUUUAAGUUAUAGAUCAAAUAUCAUUUCGUUAACUCCGAUAAAUUUUUAAAAUAUCAAUGAAAAUAAAAAUGAUUAUGUUUUCUUAAUUGAUUUAUAAUUUCAUAACUUCGUUAAAAGGUAAAAUUCAUUUUAAAUUCAUUCGCUAUAAGUUCGUAACUUAUUAUGACAAAACUCAAGGCAAACUUUGUUAGAAGUCUGAAACAAAACAAAUGCCACUCGUUUUAAAUCUCCAUAAAUUCUCGUAUCUAAUUUCGGUGAAUUAGAAAUGAUUUUAUGUUUUUCAAAUGUGAAAUAAUUUUUUUUUCUCUUAUUGUAUGCCCGUAGCUUAUUGAAAAUAAUCAUCUUACAUAAUCAUCUAAUCAGAUAACUUAUUAGGCAUAGAAUUGUGAAAUUCAAUGAUAUCAUUUACAUAUAUUACAAAAAAUAUAGGUUGCAUAUACUGAUGUGAAAUUUUCAAUUUAUCUAUGUACUGUACUUCGGAGCAGUCACACUCUUGUGAAUGAAUUAUUGUCAUAAAUUAUAUAAUAUAAUAUAAUACUAUACUAUGAA
RNA transcript from Nilaparvata lugens (brown planthopper), 2351 nucleotides. It is a transcript of the gene named CUE domain-containing protein 2, with no coding region annotated. The transcript has 10 exons. The record is from RefSeq and is a predicted model, not a curated record. Lineage: Eukaryota; Metazoa; Arthropoda; Insecta; Hemiptera; Delphacidae.